Non-coding RNA from Xyrichtys novacula (pearly razorfish), 4487 nucleotides. The record is from the annotation of a GenBank genome assembly. Lineage: Eukaryota; Metazoa; Chordata; Actinopteri; Labriformes; Labridae.
UGCAUUUUCAACACUUCCAGACAAGUACAACACUUGCAAACACUGACUUUGGCCAUUUUCCGCUCCCAUUCAUUUUCAAUGGGAAAUUUUCACUUCACCAUAACUUUUGAUAGGAAUGUCCGAUCGCUGGUUCAUUACUAUUUCUAGAUUCAGCAUACCCGAAAAUGGGGGGUAGACCAAAUCUCAGCCCGGUUCAUCGAUGGGAAAGGCAAUGAACCGGCAUGUCAAAAGUGGCACAUAUCCCUAUAUCCUGCCCCAAAGCUCCAACCCCCGAAAACUUCACCCACAAUCAGGUUCUAUGGACUCCCCGUGGCCUGAAACGUGCUCCUAACACAAUUCUGGAAGGUGAAAAAUUGGGUCCGCACUUAGGAAAAUCUUCACAUUUUGGGAAAAUCUUCACAUUUUCCUAACCCUAACCCUAACCCUAGCUCCAACCCUAACCCUAACCCUAGCUCCAACCCUAACCCUAACCCUAGCUCCACAACUAACCCUAACCAUAGCUCCAGCCCUAACCCUAACCCCUUGCCCAAAGUCUCACCCUAACCCUAACCGUCGGACAUGUGCAGCAGCACCACCUCUGGUCAAAAGCGGUAUGACACCCCUUUUUGCAAAGUCGCCCUCAAAUGACAGGAAAUGGCCUGAAACGUGCUCACAAUGCAUUUUCAACACUUCCAGACAAGUACAACACUUGCAAACACUGACUUUGGCCAUUUUUCCGCUCCCAUUCAUUUUCAAUGGGAAAUUUUCACUUCGCCAUAACUUUUGAUAGGAAUGUCCGAUCGCUGGUUCAUUACUAUUUCUAGAUUCAGCAUACCCGAAAAUGGGGGGUAGACCAAAUCUCAGCCCGGUUCAUCGAUGGGAAAGGCAAUGAACCGGCAUGUCAAAAGUGGCACAUAUCCCUAUAUCCUGCCCCAAAGCUCCAACCCCCGAAAACUUCACCCACAAUCAGGUUCUAUGGACUCCCCGUGGCCUGAAACGUGCUCCUAACACAAUUCUGGAAGGUGAAAAAUUGGGUCCGCACUUAGGAAAAUCUUCAGAUUUUGGGAAAAUCUUCACAUUUUCCUAACCCUAACCCUAACCCUAGCUCCAACCCUAACCCUAACCCUAGCUCCAACCCUAACCCUAACCCUAGCUCCACAACUAACCCUAACCAUAGCUCCAGCCCUAACCCUAACCCCUUGCCCAAAGUCUCACCCUAACCCUAACCGUCGGACAUGUGCAGCAGCACACCUCUGGUCAAAAGCGGUAUGACACCCCUUUUUGCAAAGUCGCCCUCAAAUGACAGGAAAUGGCCUGAAACGUGCUCACAAUGCAUUUUCAACACUUCCAGACAAGUACAACACUUGCAAACACUGACUUUGGCCAUUUUCCGCUCCCAUUCAUUUUCAAUGGGAAAUUUUCACUUCGCCAUAACUUUUGAUAGGAAUGUCCGAUCGCUGGUUCAUUACUAUUUCUAGAUUCAGCAUACCCGAAAAUGGGGGGUAGACCAAAUCUCAGCCCGGUUCAUCGAUGGGAAAGGCAAUGAACCGGCAUGUCAAAAGUGGCACAUAUCCCUAUAUCCUGCCCCAAAGCUCCAACCCCCGAAAACUUCACCCACAAUCAGGUUCUAUGGACUCCCCGUGGCCUGAAACGUGCUCCUAACACAAUUCUGGAAGGUGAAAAAUUGGGUCCGCACUUAGGAAAAUCUUCAGAUUUUGGGAAAAUCUUCACAUUUUCCUAACCCUAACCCUAACCCUAGCUCCAACCCUAACCCUAACCCUAGCUCCAACCCUAACCCUAACCCUAGCUCCACAACUAACCCUAACCAUAGCUCCAGCCCUAACCCUAACCCCUUGCCCAAAGUCUCACCCUAACCCUAACCGUCGGACAUGUGCAGCACCACCUCUGGUCAAAAGCGGUAUGACACCCCUUUUUGCAAAGUCGCCCUCAAAUGACAGGAAAUGGCCUGAAACGUGCUCACAAUGCAUUUUCAACACUUCCAGACAAGUACAACACUUGCAAACACUGACUUUGGCCAUUUUCCGCUCCCAUUCAUUUUCAAUGGGAAAUUUUCACUUCGCCAUAACUUUUGAUAGGAAUGUCCGAUCGCUGGUUCAUUACUAUUUCUAGAUUCAGCAUACCCGAAAAUGGGGGGGUAGACCAAAUCUCAGCCCGGUUCAUCGAUGGGAAAGGCAAUGAACCGGCAUGUCAAAAGUGGCACAUAUCCCUAUAUCCUGCCCCAAAGCUCCAACCCCCGAAAACUUCACCCACAAUCAGGUUCUAUGGACUCCCCGUGGCCUGAAACGUGCUCCUAACACAAUUCUGGAAGGUGAAAAAUUGGGUCCGCACUUAGGAAAAUCUUCAGAUUUUGGGAAAAUCUUCACAUUUUCCUAACCCUAACCCUAACCCUAGCUCCAACCCUAACCCUAACCCUAGCUCCAACCCUAACCCUAACCCUAGCUCCACAACUAACCCUAACCAUAGCUCCAGCCCUAACCCUAACCCCUUGCCCAAAGUCUCACCCUAACCCUAACCGUCGGACAUGUGCAGCAGCACCACCUCUGGUCAAAAGCGGUAUGACACCCCUUUUUGCAAAGUCGCCCUCAAAUGACAGGAAAUGGCCUGAAACGUGCUCACAAUGCAUUUUCAACACUUCCAGACAAGUACAACACUUGCAAACACUGACUUUGGCCAUUUUUCCGCUCCCAUUCAUUUUCAAUGGGAAAUUUUCACUUCGCCAUAACUUUUGAUAGGAAUGUCCGAUCGCUGGUUCAUUACUAUUUCUAGAUUCAGCAUACCCGAAAAUGGGGGGUAGACCAAAUCUCAGCCCGGUUCAUCGAUGGGAAAGGCAAUGAACCGGCAUGUCAAAAGUGGCACAUAUCCCUAUAUCCUGCCCCAAAGCUCCAACCCCCGAAAACUUCACCCACAAUCAGGUUCUAUGGACUCCCCGUGGCCUGAAACGUGCUCCUAACACAAUUCUGGAAGGUGAAAAAUUGGGUCCGCACUUAGGAAAAUCUUCAGAUUUUGGGAAAAUCUUCACAUUUUCCUAACCCUAACCCUAACCCUAGCUCCAACCCUAACCCUAACCCUAGCUCCAACCCUAACCCUAACCCUAGCUCCACAACUAACCCUAACCAUAGCUCCAGCCCUAACCCUAACCCCUUGCCCAAAGUCUCACCCUAACCCUAACCGUCGGACAUGUGCAGCACCACCUCUGGUCAAAAGCGGUAUGACACCCCUUUUUGCAAAGUCGCCCUCAAAUGACAGGAAAUGGCCUGAAACGUGCUCACAAUGCAUUUUCAACACUUCCAGACAAGUACAACACUUGCAAACACUGACUUUGGCCAUUUUCCGCUCCCAUUCAUUUUCAAUGGGAAAUUUUCACUUCGCCAUAACUUUUGAUAGGAAUGUCCGAUCGCUGGUUCAUUACUAUUUCUAGAUUCAGCAUACCCGAAAAUGGGGGGUAGACCAAAUCUCAGCCCGGUUCAUCGAUGGGAAAGGCAAUGAACCGGCAUGUCAAAAGUGGCACAUAUCCCUAUAUCCUGCCCCAAAGCUCCAACCCCCGAAAACUUCACCCACAAUCAGGUUCUAUGGACUCCCCGUGGCCUGAAACGUGCUCCUAACACAAUUCUGGAAGGUGAAAAAUUGGGUCCGCACUUAGGAAAAUCUUCAGAUUUUGGGAAAAUCUUCACAUUUUCCUAACCCUAACCCUAACCCUAGCUCCAACCCUAACCCUAACCCUAGCUCCAACCCUAACCCUAACCCUAGCUCCACAACUAACCCUAACCAUAGCUCCAGCCCUAACCCUAACCCCUUGCCCAAAGUCUCACCCUAACCCUAACCGUCGGACAUGUGCAGCACCACCUCUGGUCAAAAGCGGUAUGACACCCCUUUUUGCAAAGUCGCCCUCAAAUGACAGGAAAUGGCCUGAAACGUGCUCACAAUGCAUUUUCAACACUUCCAGACAAGUACAACACUUGCAAACACUGACUUUGGCCAUUUUCCGCUCCCAUUCAUUUUCAAUGGGAAAUUUUCACUUCGCCAUAACUUUUGAUAGGAAUGUCCGAUCGCUGGUUCAUUACUAUUUCUAGAUUCAGCAUACCCGAAAAUGGGGGGGUAGACCAAAUCUCAGCCCGGUUCAUCGAUGGGAAAGGCAAUGAACCGGCAUGUCAAAAGUGGCACAUAUCCCUAUAUCCUGCCCCAAAGCUCCAACCCCCGAAAACUUCACCCACAAUCAGGUUCUAUGGACUCCCCGUGGCCUGAAACGUGCUCCUAACACAAUUCUGGAAGGUGAAAAAUUGGGUCCGCACUUAGGAAAAUCUUCAGAUUUUGGGAAAAUCUUCACAUUUUCCUAACCCUAACCCUAACCCUAGCUCCAACCCUAACCCUAACCCUAGCUCCAACCCUAACCCUAACCCUAGCUCCACAACUAACCCUAACCAUAGCUCCAGCCCUAACCCUAACCCCUUGCCCAAAGUCUCACCCUAACCCUAACCGUCGGACAUGUG